GAUGAACGCUGGCGGCGUGCCUAAUACAUGCAAGUCGAGCGAACAGAUGAGGAGCUUGCUCCUCUGACGUUAGCGGCGGACGGGUGAGUAACACGUGGAUAACCUACCUAUAAGACUGGGAUAACUUCGGGAAACCGGAGCUAAUACCGGAUAAUAUAUUGAACCGCAUGGUUCAAUAGUGAAAGACGGUUUUGCUGUCACUUAUAGAUGGAUCCGCGCCGCAUUAGCUAGUUGGUAAGGUAACGGCUUACCAAGGCGACGAUGCGUAGCCGACCUGAGAGGGUGAUCGGCCACACUGGAACUGAGACACGGUCCAGACGCCUACGGGAGGCAGCAGUAGGGAAUCUUCCGCAAUGGGCGAAAGCCUGACGGAGCAACGCCGCGGGAGUGAUGAAGGUCUUCGGAUCGUAAAACUCUGUUAUUAGGGAAGAACAAAUGUGUAAGUAACUAUGCACGUCUUGACGGUACCUAAGCAGAAAGCCACGGCUAACUACGU
Molecule: ribosomal RNA, 496 nt
Filed under: uncultured bacterium
Lineage: Bacteria
Description: partial 16S ribosomal RNA
Rfam family: Bacterial small subunit ribosomal RNA
Source: RNAcentral